RNAcentral lists this long non-coding RNA (306 nucleotides) under Triticum aestivum (bread wheat). Its description in RNAcentral is "long non-coding RNA (TAES_LNC028581)". Lineage: Eukaryota; Viridiplantae; Streptophyta; Magnoliopsida; Poales; Poaceae. The record is from RNAcentral.
CUCUGGUUUUUGCCGGUUCACCAACACAUGCGUCUUCGCGCAUGCAGCUGCUGCCACGGGCUCAACGGUGCUGCUCUGCCUCUGCUACCUCAACUGCGACGCCGAUGGUUCAGUGAGUCACCCCUCCUCUCUGCUCUUAUCUCUCUGGUCCUUUCUGGCGUGGCUACCUAAAGUUUUGCCGUCGUGGCGUUGUAGAUCACGGCUGGAUACAACAACAACCGCGGCCACUCUCAACAUGGUGGCUUCCAUUAUUCUGUUUGGGAUUUGGUGCCCCAGAUUCUUAAACGUUCCACUUGUGCAUGGGUG